CAACUCCAGCAGAUGAACAGUGAAAGAGGGAAGAGCCACUUAUCAUCCUGACUCCAUGCCCUCCAUACACUGAGAGUGGAAGCUACAGCACCAGUGUUUCCUGUAAUUUCACAAUGAAGGUUACCAUCACCAGAGACCCCACUCCAUUAUUCCACCUGCUGGAGACAGCAAUAAUUACAUAUAUGUGGGGUGGGACCUGGACAUGCAUGGUGGAAGAAGAAAGUCCUGCAGCUCCCACAACCAAUGAGUGUACUGCAUUGUCUAAUGCACCAAAUCUCCUCCUACCAGCAUAUAAAGGAUGAUAAUAACAACACUGUUAUAAUGACAAUAAAACCUUUGAAUCUUAAA
Long non-coding RNA from Pseudophryne corroboree (corroboree frog), 348 nucleotides. RefSeq lists it as uncharacterized. Lineage: Eukaryota; Metazoa; Chordata; Amphibia; Anura; Myobatrachidae. The record is from RefSeq and is a predicted model, not a curated record. The transcript has 2 exons.